AGUGAACGCUGGCGGUAGGCCUAACACAUGCAAGUCGAACGGCAGCACAUUAAGAGCUUGCUCUUACGGGUGGCGAGUGGCGGACGGGUGAGGAAUACAUCGGAAUCUACUUUUUCGUGGGGGAUAACGUAGGGAAACUUACGCUAAUACCGCAUACGACCUACGGGUGAAAGCAGGGGAUCUUCGGACCUUGCGCGAUUGAAUGAGCCGAUGUCGGAUUAGCUAGUUGGCGGGGUAAAGGCCCACCAAGGCGACGCUCCGUAGCUGGUCUGAGAGGAUGAUCGGCCACACUGGAACUGAGACACGGUCCAGACUCCUACGGGAGGCAGCAGUGGGGAAUAUUGGACGAUGGGCGCAAGCCUGAUCCAGCCAUACCGCGUGGGUGAAGAAGGCCUUCGGGUUGUAAAGCACUUUUGUUGGGAAAGAAAAGCAGCAGGUUAAUACCCCGCUGUUCUGACGGUACCCAAAGAAUAAGCACCGGCUAACUUCGUG
This 492-nucleotide ribosomal RNA is filed under the name uncultured bacterium. RNAcentral's name for it is "partial 16S ribosomal RNA". It matches the Rfam family "Bacterial small subunit ribosomal RNA", at positions 29 to 507 of the family's 1533-position model. The record is from RNAcentral.